Non-coding RNA from Schistosoma mattheei, 78 nucleotides. The record is from Rfam. NCBI's taxonomy places the organism in Eukaryota, Metazoa, Platyhelminthes, Trematoda, Strigeidida, Schistosomatidae.
AGCCUUUUGAAUCCAUGCAAAGAUUUCACCAAGCACCAACCCAUUAGGGCUGAUCAGACUUCCAAGAUAAGUGAAGUU